This 307-nucleotide ribosomal RNA is filed under the name Leuconostoc mesenteroides. RNAcentral's name for it is "bacterial SSU rRNA". It matches the Rfam family "Bacterial small subunit ribosomal RNA", at positions 31 to 326 of the family's 1533-position model. Lineage: Bacteria; Bacillati; Bacillota; Bacilli; Lactobacillales; Lactobacillaceae. The record is from RNAcentral.
GAACGCUGGCGGCGUGCCUAAUACAUGCAAGUCGAACGCACAGCGAAAGGGUGCUUGCACCUUUCAAGUGAGUGGCGAACGGGUGAGUAACACGUGGACAACCUGCCUCAAGGCUGGGGAUAACAUUUGGAAACAGAUGCUAAUACCGAAUAAAACUUAGUGUCGCAUGACACAAAGUUAAAAGGCGCUUUGGCGUCACCUAGAGAUGGAUCCGCGGUGCAUUAGUUAGUUGGUGGGGUAAAGGCCUACCAAGACAAUGAUGCAUAGCCGAGUUGAGAGACUGAUCGGCCACAUUGGGACUGAGACA